This 390-nucleotide transfer-messenger RNA is filed under the name compost metagenome. RNAcentral's name for it is "transfer-messenger RNA, SsrA". It matches the Rfam family "transfer-messenger RNA". From Rfam's summary of the family: Bacterial tmRNA, also known as 10Sa RNA or SsrA, is named for its dual tRNA and mRNA-like properties. Its role is to liberate the mRNA from a stalled ribosome. The record is from RNAcentral.
GGGGAUGUCACGGUUUCGACCAGGAGUGCGAUGGUAGGGGCUGCGAGCCGGGAGUGUCGUCCGAUCCCGCUAAAUCCGAUGGCAAAAAAAACAAGUGCCAAAGCUAACGUCUUUGCGCUUCCCUCGGUUGGUGGCCGUCAGGCCGCUGCCCUCGCUGCGUAAGUAGCGAGUUAAGGGACACUCAUCGUCCCCCGCCGGUCGGGAUGAUGGGUCACUUUGACCGGCUGCUGCCGACCGAUUUGUUCGCUGAGUCGGCCUAAGCCUAGCGAACUAUCCUGACACGGGCCGCGCCGAGGGGGCGCGUGGCAGGUGAAACGUACCCCAGGCUACGCUCGUAGACGCCGCUAUGGUUGUCUUUUGGGACGUGGGUUCAAUUCCCACCAUCUCCAC